This 407-nucleotide long non-coding RNA is filed under the name Panax ginseng (ginseng). RNAcentral describes it as "long non-coding RNA (PGIN_LNC016596)". Lineage: Eukaryota; Viridiplantae; Streptophyta; Magnoliopsida; Apiales; Araliaceae. The record is from RNAcentral.
UACGACUCAGAGUGUAGUCUACGAUUAUUGACUUGGCUUUGGUAUAUGCUCGGUCGGCUCUUAGAUAGGUUGUCUCUACGAUUCUGAACAUGACUUCCUCAACAGAUUAUGGCUCUGAGGAAGUUCUCCUCGACACACUACGAUCCUUCCUCGUCUCUCCUAGCAGUCUACGAACUCGGAGAUCUACUAUCUUGUAGACUACAAUUCUUCCUUGAUAUCUCGAGUUUUUCUUGACUCUCCUAGUAGACUAUGAUCUCUGUUGCAGUGCUCGACGAUCAGAUAAGCCUAUUUAUUACAUUACAAGAUCAACCUAACAAGCUUGAUCUGUCUAUAUUUAUAGUCUUUGUACAUCAUUUCUUUUUAAGGACUUUACAAAGCUGUUUUGCUUAAUGUAGGAUCAUCCUAAC